This is a regulatory RNA element of Angustibacter sp. Root456, 54 nucleotides long. It matches the Rfam family "L31-Actinobacteria ribosomal protein leader". The record is from Rfam. Lineage: Bacteria; Bacillati; Actinomycetota; Actinomycetes; Kineosporiales; Kineosporiaceae.
CUGGUUCCGGUUCACGUCCCGCGGCACUCCGCCGCCCCUGACGACCCGGCGACC